This 338-nucleotide unclassified non-coding RNA is filed under the name soil metagenome. RNAcentral's name for it is "partial contains 5.8S ribosomal RNA, internal transcribed spacer 2, and large subunit ribosomal RNA". The stretch from base 1 to 120 matches the Rfam family "5.8S ribosomal RNA", at positions 35 to 154 of the family's 154-position model. The record is from RNAcentral.
GAUGAAGAACGCCGCGAAAUGCGAUAAGUAAUGUGAAUUGCAGAAUUCAGUGAAUCAUCGAAUCUUUGAACGCACAUUGCGCCCGGCAGUACUCUGCCGGGCAUGCCUGUUCGAGCGUCAUUUCAACCCUCAAGCCCUGCUUGGUGUUGGGGCCCCACGGCUGCCGUGGGCCCUGAAAGGAAGUGGCGGGCUCGCUACAACUCCGAGCGUAGUAAUUCAUUAUCUCGCUUAGGGCGUUGGGCGGCGCUCCAGCCGUUAAAGAACCAUCUUUAACUCAAGGUUGACCUCGGAUCAGGUAGGAAUACCCGCUGAACUUAAGCAUAUCAAUAAGCGGAGGA